UACGUGGGUGGCAAGCGUUGUCCGGAUUUACUGGGCGUAAAGAGCGCGCAGGCGGUCGUUCAAGUCGAGUGUGAAAGCCCCCGGCUCAACUGGGGAGGGUCAUUCGAUACUGAUCGACUCGAAGGCAGGAGAGGGAAGUGGAAUUCCCGGUGUAGUGGUGAAAUGCGUAGAUAUCGGGAGGAACACCAGUGGCGAAGGCGACUUCCUGGCCUGUUCUUGACGCUGAGGCGCGAAAGCUAGGGGAGCAAACGGG
RNAcentral lists this ribosomal RNA (253 nucleotides) under uncultured bacterium. Its description in RNAcentral is "partial 16S ribosomal RNA". It matches the Rfam family "Bacterial small subunit ribosomal RNA", at positions 524 to 776 of the family's 1533-position model. The record is from RNAcentral.